RNAcentral lists this ribosomal RNA (207 nucleotides) under uncultured bacterium. RNAcentral describes it as "partial 16S ribosomal RNA". It matches the Rfam family "Bacterial small subunit ribosomal RNA", at positions 568 to 774 of the family's 1533-position model. The record is from RNAcentral.
UGCGUAGGUGGCGAGGUAAGUCGGAUGUGAAAUCUCGGAGCUCAACUCCGAAAUGGCAUUGGAAACUACCUUGCUCGAGGGUUGGAGGGGGGACUGGAAUACUUGGUGUAGCAGUGAAAUGCGUAGAUAUCAAGUGGAACACCAGUGGCGAAGGCGAGUCCCUGGACAACUCCUGACACUGAGGCACGAAAGCUAGGGGAGCAAACA